UAGGGAAUCUUCCGCAAUGGGCGAAAGCCUGACGGAGCAACGCCGCGUGAGUGAUGAAGGUCUUCGGAUCGUAAAACUCUGUUAUUAGGGAAGAACAAAUGUGUAAGUAACUAUGCACGUCUUGACGGUACCUAAUCAGAAAGCCACGGCUAACUACGUGCCAGCAGCCGCGGUAAUACGUAGGUGGCAAGCGUUAUCCGGAAUUAUUGGGCGUAAAGCGCGCGUAGGCGGUUUUUUAAGUCUGGUGUGAAAGCCCACGGCUCAACCGUGGAGGGUCAUUGGAAACUGGAAAACUUGAGUGCAGAAGAGGAAAGUGGAAUUCCAUGUGUAGCGGUGAAAUGCGCAGAGAUAUGGAGGAACACCAGUGGCGAAGGCGACUUUCUGGUCUGUAAAUGACGCUGAUGUGCGAAAGCAUGGGGAUCAAACAGG
This 429-nucleotide ribosomal RNA is filed under the name Actinomycetes bacterium. Its description in RNAcentral is "Actinobacteria bacterium partial 16S ribosomal RNA". It matches the Rfam family "Bacterial small subunit ribosomal RNA", at positions 355 to 776 of the family's 1533-position model. The record is from RNAcentral. Lineage: Bacteria; Bacillati; Actinomycetota; Actinomycetes.